AUUGAACGCUGGCGGCAGGCCUAACACAUGCAAGUCGAGCGAGCGGCGGACGGGUGAGUAAUGGCUGGGAAACUGCCUGAGGGAGGGGGAGAACUACUGGAAACGGUAGCUAAUACUGCAUACCAACAGAUGUGCCCAGGUGGGAUUAGCUAGUGGGGGGGGUAACGGCUCACCAAGGCGACGAUCCCUAGCUGGUCUGAGAGGAUGACCAGCCACACUGGAACUGAGACACGGUCCAGACUCCUACGGGAGGCAGCAGUGGGGAAUAUUGCACAAUGGGCGCAAGCCUGAUGCAGCCAUGCCGCGUGUGUGAAGAAGGCCUUCGGGUUGUAAAGCACUUUCAGCGGGGAGGCGUUACCCGCAGAAGAAGCACCGGCUAACUCCGUGCCAGCAGCCGCGGUAAUAC
RNAcentral lists this ribosomal RNA (406 nucleotides) under uncultured bacterium. Its description in RNAcentral is "partial 16S ribosomal RNA". It matches the Rfam family "Bacterial small subunit ribosomal RNA", at positions 29 to 526 of the family's 1533-position model. The record is from RNAcentral.